Molecule: ribosomal RNA, 180 nt
Filed under: uncultured Glomeromycotina
Lineage: Eukaryota; Fungi; Glomeromycota
Description: partial small subunit ribosomal RNA
Source: RNAcentral
GACUCGGUUGGGCGGUCCGCUUAACGGCGUGUACUGUCUGACUGGGCCUUACCUCUUGGUGAGCCAGUGUGCCCUUUAUUGGUGUGCAUUGGGGAACCAGGACUUUUACCUUGAAAAAAUUAGAGUGUUCAAAGCAGGCACAACCUGGCAUCAUGAAUACAUUAGCAUGGGAUAAUAGAA